Molecule: ribosomal RNA, 1435 nt
Filed under: hot springs metagenome
Description: bacterial LSU rRNA
Rfam family: Bacterial large subunit ribosomal RNA
Source: RNAcentral
AAAGAGGUGAAGCCGCAGCGAAAGCGAGUCUGAAGAGGGCGGAAGUUGCUGUAAGUAGACCCGAAGCCAGGUGAUCUAGCCAUGUCCAGGGUGAAGUUGGAGUAAGAUCCAAUGGAGGCCCGAACCCAAUGACGUUGAAAAGUCAUGGGAUGAGAUGUGGCUAGGGGUGAAAGGCCAAUCGAACCUGGAGAUAGCUGGUACUCCUCGAAAUAGCUUUAGGGCUAGCCUCAGAUAAAGAUACGGGGCUGUAGAGCACUGAUUGGACUAGGGGCCCAACAAGGUUACCGAAUCCAUUCAAACCCCGAAUACUCCGUAUGAAUAUCUGGGAGUCAGACUAUGUGGGAUAAGCUUCAUAGUCGAGAGGGAAACAGCCCAGACCACCAGUUAAGGUCCCCAAGUAUAGGCUAAGUGGAAAAGGAAGUUAAACCGCACAGACAACCAGGAUGUUGGCUUAGAAGCAGCCACUCAUUUAAAGAGUGCGUAACAGCUCACUGGUCAAGCGGUUUGGCGCCGAAAAUGUAACGGGGCUUAAGCCUAUCACCGAAGCUGUGGACUUGUGAAUCGUUCAUAGAGUCUAUUUGUCCGUGUAGACGAAGAAGAGAAAGUAAAGAAAUGUUUUUAAAAAAAGAUUAAAAGAAAAGACCAUUUAAGAUAAUCAAGUAGAUUGUAUGAACGAUUCAUAAGUGGUAGAGGAGCAUUGUGUGCUGGUAGAAGCUGUACCGUAAGGAGCAGUUGACGGCACAGAAGAGAGAAUGCCGGUAUGAGUAACGAUAAAGGGGGUGAGAAUCCCCCUCGCCGAAAGUCUAAGGUUUCCUGAGGAAGGUUCGUCCGCUCAGGGUUAGCCGGGACCUAAGUCGAGGCCGAAAGGCGUAGAUGAUGGAUAAUGGGUAGAGAUUCCCAUGCCACUGUAUAUUGAUUGAACGAAGUGGGGACACUGUAAAGAGGGCAUGCACGCGACUGGAGGUGCGUGUACAAGGAAUAGAGAAGGUCAGCGAGGCAAAUCCCGUUGGCAUAACUUCUUUAUCUGAUGUGUAGCCAAUUGAGGUGAAGCUGUCUAAUGAGCAGUCAAGAAAAUCCGCUAGUGAGAUAUAUAGUGCCCGUACCGCAAACCGACACAGGUAGACGGGGAGAGAAUCCCAAGGCGCGCGAGAGAACCCCUGUUAAGGAACUCGGCAAAAUGGCCCCGUAACUUAGGGAGAAGGGGUGCCACCGAGAGGUGGUUACAACAAAGUGGUCCAAGCGACUGUUUAUCAAAAACACAGGUCUCUGCUAAGUCGUAAGACGAAGUAUAGGGGCUGACGCCUGCCCGGUGCUGGAAGGUCAAGGGGAGAGCUUAGCGUAAGCGAAGGUUUGAACCUAAGCCCCAGUAAACGGCGGCCGUAACUAUAACGGUCCUAAGGUAGCGAAAUUCCUUGUCGGGUAAGUUCCGACCCGC